This 225-nucleotide long non-coding RNA is filed under the name Elaeis guineensis (African oil palm). Its description in RNAcentral is "long non-coding RNA (EGUI_LNC054799)". Lineage: Eukaryota; Viridiplantae; Streptophyta; Magnoliopsida; Arecales; Arecaceae. The record is from RNAcentral.
CAUGGUGAAAGGGGGGUUGACGUGGAAAUCUUUCACUAUGGAGAUCAGAAGUAUCGGCCUGCUCCAGGGCUGGAUGCUAUAUGGCCUUGAUUUUGUGAUUCAUCUCCUAGAGUUGGCAAUCCAAUCUAUCAUCACGGACCAUAGGUGCAUUUGUCCGGGUGAUUAGUGACCAUCUGAGGUCGAGUCUCUCCCAAAUCGAGAAGUAGGCAAGUGUCUUCUACGAUC